CGUAUGGUGGAUGCCUUGGCACUAGGAGCCGAUGAAGGACGUGACUAACUGCGAUAUGCUUCGGGGAGUUGUAAGUAAACUAUGAUCCGGAGAUUUCCGAAUGGGGAAACCUAACAGGUUUUACCGCCUGUUAUCACUAAGUGAAUUCAUAGCUUAGUUGAAGGUAGACGUGGGGAACUGAAACAUCUAAGUACCCACAGGAAGAGAAAGAAAUUCGAUUCCCUCAGUAGCGGCGAGCGAA
This 241-nucleotide ribosomal RNA is filed under the name Ligilactobacillus salivarius. RNAcentral's name for it is "Lactobacillus salivarius partial 23S ribosomal RNA". It matches the Rfam family "Bacterial large subunit ribosomal RNA", at positions 18 to 257 of the family's 2925-position model. The record is from RNAcentral. Lineage: Bacteria; Bacillati; Bacillota; Bacilli; Lactobacillales; Lactobacillaceae.